Molecule: transfer RNA, 73 nt
Filed under: Streptococcus ilei
Lineage: Bacteria; Bacillati; Bacillota; Bacilli; Lactobacillales; Streptococcaceae
Description: tRNA-Asp (GTC) (tRNA-Asp-GTC-2-1)
Rfam family: tRNA
About the family: Transfer RNA (tRNA) molecules are approximately 80 nucleotides in length. Their secondary structure includes four short double-helical elements and three loops (D, anti-codon, and T loops). Further hydrogen bonds mediate the characteristic L-shaped molecular structure. tRNAs have two regions of fundamental functional importance: the anti-codon, which is responsible for specific mRNA codon recognition, and the 3' end, to which the tRNAs corresponding amino acid is attached (by aminoacyl-tRNA synthetases). tRNAs cope with the degeneracy of the genetic code in two manners: having more than one tRNA (with a specific anti-codon) for a particular amino acid; and 'wobble' base-pairing, i.e. permitting non-standard base-pairing at the 3rd anti-codon position.
Source: RNAcentral
GGUCCCGUAGUCUAGCGGUUAUCACGUCGCCCUGUCACGGCGAAGAUCGCGGGUUCGAUUCCCGUCGGGACCG